RNAcentral lists this ribosomal RNA (465 nucleotides) under uncultured bacterium. RNAcentral describes it as "partial 16S ribosomal RNA". It matches the Rfam family "Bacterial small subunit ribosomal RNA", at positions 29 to 507 of the family's 1533-position model. The record is from RNAcentral.
ACGAACGCUGGCGGCGCGCCUAACACCUGCAAGUCGAACGAGCGAGAGGGAGCUUGCUUUCUCGAGCGAGUGGCGAACGGGUGAGUAACGCGUGAGGAACCUGCCUCAAAGAGGGGGACAACAGUUGGAAACGACUGCUAAUACCGCAUAAGCCCACGGUGCCGCAUGGCACAGAGGGAAAAGGAGCAAUCCGCUUUGAGAUGGCCUCGCGUCCGAUUAGCUAGUUGGUGAGGUAAUGGCCCACCAAGGCGACGAUCGGUAGCCGGACUGAGAGGUUGAACGGCCACAUUGGGACUGAGACACGGCCCAGACUCCUACGGGAGGCAGCAGUGGGGAAUAUUGCACAAUGGGGGAAACCCUGAUGCAGCGACGCCGCGUGGAGGAAGAAGGUCUUCGGAUUGUAAACUCCUGUUGUUGGGGAAGAUAAUGACGGUACCCAACAAGGAAGUGACGGCUAACUACGUG